RNAcentral lists this ribosomal RNA (531 nucleotides) under uncultured archaeon. RNAcentral's name for it is "bacterial SSU rRNA". It matches the Rfam family "Archaeal small subunit ribosomal RNA", at positions 321 to 856 of the family's 1478-position model. The record is from RNAcentral.
CCCUACGGGGCGCAGCAGGCGCGAAAACUUUACAAUGCGGGAAACCGUGAUAGGGGAACUCCGAGUGCCCGUAAAAUCGGGCUGUCCACCAGUUUAAAUAACUGGCGAAGAAAGGGCCGGGCAAGACCGGUGCCAGCCGCCGCGGUAAUACCGGCGGCUCGAGUGGUGGCCACUAUUACUGGGCUUAAAGCGUUCGUAGCUGGUUUGUUAAGUCUCUGGGGAAAUCUUCCGGCUUAACCGGAAGGCGUCUCAGGGAUACUGGCAGACUAGGGACCGGGAGAGGUGAGGGGUACUCCAGGGGUAGGAGUGAAAUCCUGUAAUCCUUGGGGGACCACCUGUGGCGAAGGCGCCUCACCAGAACGGCUCCGACAGUGAGGGACGAAAGCUGGGGGAGCAAACCGGAUUAGAUACCCGGGUAGUCCCAGCUGUAAACGAUGCGCGUUAGGUGUAUCAGUGACCACGAGUCACUGAGGUGCCGAAGAGAAAUCGUGAAACGUGCCGCCUGGGAAGUACGGUCGCAAGGCUGAAACU